Molecule: ribosomal RNA, 253 nt
Filed under: uncultured bacterium
Lineage: Bacteria
Description: partial 16S ribosomal RNA
Rfam family: Bacterial small subunit ribosomal RNA
Source: RNAcentral
CACGUAGGGCGCAAGCGUUGUCCGGAAUUAUUGGGCGUAAAGAGCUCGUAGGCGGUCUGUUGCGUCCGCUGUGAAAACUCGGGGCUUAACCCCGAGCCUGCAGUGGAUACGGGCAGACUAGAGGUAGGUAGGGGAGAAUGGAAUUCCCGGUGUAGCGGUGAAAUGCGCAGAUAUCGGGAGGAACACCGGUGGCGAAGGCGGUUCUCUGGGCCUUACCUGACGCUGAGGAGCGAUAGCGUGGGGAGCGAACAGG